UCGUCCGCGAAAAUUAAGCAUUGAAUUACUGUACAAAUCUCGGGUUGUUAGGUGUUAGAAUCCCUAGUUACCCGAAAAAUUUGAUUGGAUCCGAUACUUAGAAAUAACCAAUCAGAUACUUUGUAACAAAUGCAACACAAUCAGUGCGUUCAGUGUGUGUUGCCAGUAAUGGUUGAAGAUAUGCCAAACAAAUUGUGCCUCUCUAUACAGACAGAUUUCAGGUCUCAAUUUCAACUUCAAAGGUCAACAUAUCACUGAUAUCAGGAAUUCUGUGAAACUGUGGCACCAUGUAUGGUACGUGAGCGCACAAUGUCUGUUGGAAAAAGGAUAUUGGAAUAAGCAAAGGGACUCAACAUUACACAGUUAUUUCAACAUGUAGAGUCUUGUCAGCAAUGAUGGAGCAGUACAUCAGAUUUCCAGAAUCUCGUCAUGAGCUGAAGAUCAUUGCCUAUGGAUUUCAUGAAUGAUGUAGAAUGAUUGGACUGUUGAUGGAACCCACAGUGCAUGUCCUGCUUCAACAUCUGAGCAUAGGUCCUUGUUUAUCAGCAGUUUAGUUCUUCAAGCAGUCUGUGACAGUAACUUGAAAUGUUUGGACAUAUGACCUGGUUGGCCAAGUUCUGUGCAUGAUGCCCA
Long non-coding RNA from Dreissena polymorpha, 633 nucleotides. RefSeq lists it as uncharacterized. NCBI's taxonomy places the organism in Eukaryota, Metazoa, Mollusca, Bivalvia, Myida, Dreissenidae. The record is from RefSeq and is a predicted model, not a curated record. The transcript has 4 exons.